GCCCAUGACCUUACCACCCUGAAUGUACCUGAUCUUGUUUGAUCUCAGAAACUAAGCAAGGCCAGACCUGUUAAUACUUUGAUGGUAUAAGAGGGGCAAGAUUUCUUUUGUU
This 112-nucleotide ribosomal RNA is filed under the name Aotus nancymaae (Ma's night monkey). The record is from RNAcentral. Lineage: Eukaryota; Metazoa; Chordata; Mammalia; Primates; Aotidae.